Molecule: ribosomal RNA, 273 nt
Filed under: uncultured bacterium
Lineage: Bacteria
Description: partial 16S ribosomal RNA
Rfam family: Bacterial small subunit ribosomal RNA
Source: RNAcentral
UACGAAGGGGGCUAGCGUUGCUCGGAAUUACUGGGCGUAAAGGGCGCGCAGGCGGCUAUCUUUGUCAGGCGUGAAAGCCCUGGGCUUAACCUGGGAAUGGCGCUUGGGACGGGGUGGCUAGAGAUCGGGAGAGGAGAGUGGAAUUCCCAGUGUAGAGGUGAAAUUCGUAGAUAUUGGAAAGAACACCGGUGGCGAAGGCGGCCCGCUGGGCAGGAAGAGAGGGGCAACCCUCUCGGCUGACGCUGAGGCGCGACAGCGUGGGGAGCAAACAGG